Equus caballus (horse) is the source of this 729-nucleotide long non-coding RNA. RefSeq lists it as uncharacterized. Lineage: Eukaryota; Metazoa; Chordata; Mammalia; Perissodactyla; Equidae. The record is from RefSeq and is a predicted model, not a curated record.
GUUUCUUUAAGACAUAAAUUGCUGAUAGUGAUGGCAGAGAAUCUGUUGGCCGCUUUUUAUCAAAACAACAAUGCAGGCCAUUACAAGAACAGAGAAACUUUGAUUUUCUUGAUUUGAGUCCUAAAACCUUUUUAAAUCUGAGGUUACCAGCAGGGUUGAGUUACCUUCUUAAAGAAGGCAGAGCCCAUCAUGCCAAGCCAAUUAGUGACACACACUCUCCAAGGGUGCGGUAGCCAGUGUUUCCCCUUUCUUUCUAAAAUACAAAAAGUUUUAGUUCAUGUAAAGGUCCCAGAUAAAAUUCUUGACUCUCUUUUAGAUCGAUUCAAUCAAGAUUCAAGUACAGAGCUCCUUCUUGUUUUCUUUGCAGUAAUUUGUUGAGCUGUGCUGUGCUGCUUGGCAAGCUACUUAACCUUUCUGAACCUGAAUUUAGAAAACUCCAAAAUAUUUGACACAUUUCUUCCGAGGCGCCAGUGGAAUUAGUGAAUGAUUCAGCAAAUGUGUUUUAUGAUUCCUGGAAAAAAAGCCAGUCUAUAUAGCCUUCAUUUAAUGAAGCAAAGUCUGGAAAAGCUAAGCCUUGAACAUGCUAUACUGCAUUGACAGAUGGUAAGCAAACAGCCUGGGAGGAGGAGAAGUGACCCAACUUGUUUCUGCAGUGUUAGAAAAGGUAUCAAAGCAAGAGGCGGACACUCCCAGUGCCAAAGGCUUUGUUUUCUUUCUCACUCAUCUCAU